UCAGAUUCAGCUACCAAAAUAGCAAGAUGAAACUUAGGGUAGAAAUCAGCUGCUAAGGUUUGACUUUUCACACCUGUUGGAAAACAAUGAACACAAAACGAUGAUUUUUCAAACAAUUGAAAGAACAUUGAGCAGAAUUUAAGAUAUUUUGCAUUUUGUAAGGAUGGUGUGAGAUGGUGUCUGCUUUUGGGGCGAAUCUUAGACAACUCGACCUAAUGCAGACUCGGCCCAACUUUUCACUUAAUUCUGGUCAAUAGUAACAAUUCCGCAGCCCCUACAUUACUAUCCAUAUGUUUAGCAAGUAAUCACUUUUAAUCCCAGGAGAGGCAAUGUAAACAAAAAAUUGGUUUGUGUAGAUGAGAUGUAAAGAACUGAGAACUGUCAGGUCCAGAGAAAAGGGGGUGAGAUUUGGCCAAAAUUGUAAAGAUUAAAUGGAAUAAACGAUAGGUGAAGGGAAAAUGCCACCAAAUAAGCAUGAAAAUGCUGCAGUCAAAGCAUGAGACUUGGCAGUCCAAAGGGUUAUGAAGGCAUACUAGUACCACUAAUUUUUGCCCGGUCAAAAGAAUAAACAAGAAAGUUUUACAUAUUUUAACAAAAUAGUUCCUUCUCAUAGCUGUAUUUUUAUCAAUUUGUGAAAUAUUUGGGUAGUUUGGUAUCAAAUGACUUGGGAUCACUGGAGAACCCUUUCUGGAAUGUUCCAUAGCGCUUUUGCUAAUUAAUAUUCAUAAUAUGUAAAUGAGAAUUGUACCAUGUGAUUAUAGUCUGAACUGGACUGGGUUGAUAUCAUUAAAAUCACCUGAUAUAAAAUACAGGUAAUUUUUUGUUCAAAAUAACAAUAAUGCUAUAACAUGUAUAACAUGUACAUGAUAUAAGUAAAAGAUUGAAGAUUACACAAAAUAAAUGACAAUUCAAGUCAUACUUUUUUUGGUAAACAUAUUUCCUGCAUAAAAACAUAUCUACAUGACCUUUGUCUUUUUCAUUAAAAUUGCAUUUACUUUCAGUAAAACUCACACAGUAAUUUUCAAAAACUGUGGGUGAUACAUAUAAUCCUUAGUCAUGUUAGUAUUUAAAAUUUACUAGUAAAUUUACAUGUACUUAUAAUUCAGAAAGUUUUCUGUGUCCAGAUGUGUCCAUUGCAUUUAUUGUACAGCCCAUGAACAUGAAUUACUAUAACAUAAAUGUAUCAUAUUUAUGCAAAGUAAAGUCAAGUUCAUGAAGCUAAUGUAUAUAUAUAUAUUAGUAUUAAACUAGCAAAAAGUGUGUAAACUGUUUGAAUCACUUAAUGUUCACAAUAAUGCAAUACAUGCAAUAAUUUCUACAAAAGCGGGCCAAAUUUAUACCAGAGGAACAUUCAAAUUCGAAAAUUGAAAAUAAACGGACAACGCCAUGGCUAAAAUAGACAAAGACAAUCAGACAGACAAUAGAACACAAAAUACAACUUAGAAAACUAAAGAAUAAGCAACACAAACCCCACCAAAAACAGGUGCCCCGUAAGAGUAAGCAGUCUCAUCUGAAAUCACCCCAAAUUUUUUUUUGCAGUUUGAAAUUUGAUGUGCAUUUCUUGUUGCUCCUACCAAUAUAAAACUUGAAAAAUGUUUGAAAUGUUCCCCUCAUAUAAUAUUUUUUUUUAAUUUUUAGAAAAACUUUAACACCAUGAUCAGUAAACUGUACUAUGGCGGGCAUGCAGAUGUUCUUAGAUGACAGAUAGAUUGUAGGUACAUCUUAAAUAAGUAUAUGCCUAAUAGAAAAGAAUAUGUUUAUUAUACCUUUCUGACACUGUGAUGUGUAGGGAUUUAGUUAAGACUUGAAGAUGCAG
This 1816-nucleotide long non-coding RNA is filed under the name Mytilus galloprovincialis (Mediterranean mussel). Lineage: Eukaryota; Metazoa; Mollusca; Bivalvia; Mytilida; Mytilidae. The record is from RNAcentral.